Long non-coding RNA from Sceloporus undulatus (fence lizard), 1737 nucleotides. RefSeq lists it as uncharacterized. The record is from RefSeq and is a predicted model, not a curated record. The transcript has 3 exons. NCBI's taxonomy places the organism in Eukaryota, Metazoa, Chordata, Lepidosauria, Squamata, Phrynosomatidae.
AAAGACUGGGAGGGAUGCCCAGUGGCCUUCCUACCCCUCCUCCUCAUCUUCUACUCUCUUUCCCAAGUUCCUUUGGAAGGAGAUUAUUUCUGAAAUAUGGCGAGCAACAAUUACAGCCAUUGCACAGUUGUGAAGGAGUCACUGGAGGACCCGGGAACAGCUUUCUUUAUGCCCCUUCCUGACAUCCAGACCUUCUUGUGGGUAAAGGGUAUGAGGCGGGCAGCUGAAAGGGUUUAGCGGAUGCUGGCCUGAAGAAAUGGGGAAACUGCACAUAAAGCAUGGGGCUUUGGAGUAUGUCAUCCUUCCUCACUGAAGAUUAUACUGUUGCAGUGUGGAGGCGUAUAAUUUAGCAGCUGCGAAUGUCAAGGAAUUCUCGAAGACAAAAUUAAGAUGAAUCACAACUUGUAAACAAAAGGAAGCCACGAUAGAGUACAACUGUGUUGUAAGUCUUUAAAAGGCAUUCUCUAUAUUACAACAUCUGGCUAAACCAGCCAGCCAGUUCCUUAAAAAGUGCAGACUUCCAGUUGGUUUGGCGAGCCAAGAAGACGCAUUUGCAGCUGCUCUGCAAACAAAUCGGCGUAACAUGGGUAAAGCUGCUUCAAAUUUACAACUCAAGCAGCAGAAUAUUCCACAAGGAGUGGUUUUCGGAGGGGGCUAAAUUUCCCUCAUAUACCUUCAGAAGCAUUCAAACUGGAAGAAGGUAGAAGGGAGAAGCCAGCCACAACUGCAUUAAGUGCAGCAGGAUAGUCCGCCAAUUCAAACAAGCUGGUAAAAGGUAAAAGCUUUCUUUUGGGGCUUUGGCUCAUACACAUAGCCCCUAACAGCUGGGACUCUAUUAUUAUCUGUCACAGUGUUAAUUUCAACAUAAAACUCUUCUUGCAAGCUUAAGACGGUGAAGAUAUCGCUACAGAAAAGGAAGCAUUCUAUACCAUAAACAAGCUUAAGAAAGUAACAGAAACGACGCCCAUCUAAAGGUCCUGCUAAGCUUUUCUCUCCCACUUUAUUUAUAGCUUAAAAAUUUUGGGGGACUCUCUCUUUUGUAAUACGUUUAAGGUAAAGAAAAAAGGGAAACCUACCGCGGUUGAGGAGUUUCGUUGUUUGAAGUGAGCUCCCUCCGUGUAGAGCGGUUUUCUGUAUUGUGCCAGCACUGAGGACACAAACGGAAAUAGGAAGCAGGAAGUGAAUUACAAGGCCCUAUGGGAACUGUAGUUUGUAAUAGGGAAACAGCUUAAUAAGAAGAGAAGGAAUCCCCAAUUGACAGGGAGGUUUUGGAGAACUUUUGAAACAGAGCAUUUCAGUUAUUAUGGACACUAGAAGGAAAACUCAACAACAACAAAAUAUAAAAAUGAAUUUACAACCCUAUAGGAGAACUUCGUUAGAUCAACCUACUCCUCCCAAAAACUUUGCAUCCUAUUUUGAGGAAAUAAGGAAAAUCUCCUCUCUCCUUAGUGAACAGAUGGACAAUUUAAAUAAAGAGAUGAAAACCUUUAAGGCUGAAAUAGAAAAAGAGCUAAGGGAAGAUUGGAAAGAAAUUAAUAAUUCCAUGGAAAAGAUUGUGUCAGAACUCAGUAAUAUGGAGAAAAUGGAUAAACUGGAAUAAAAACAAGUGGAUGUUCUGUUAGGAAAUGACAUGUAUGUGACCACAAGAUAGAGCUGUAGCGGAACCUAUUACAGUUCCAGUGGCAGAUAACAGUUGACACUUGCAUUAUGGAAUGUUGAUGCUGUCAGUCCUUCUGA